AUAUUGGACAAUGGAGGCAACUCUGAUCCAGCCAUGCCGCGUGAGUGAAGAAGGCCUUCGGGUUGUAAAGCUCUUUCGGACGGGAGGAAAUGGCGGGCUCUAACAUAGCCUGUCGAUGACGGUACCGUAAGAAGAAGCACCGGCUAACUACGUGCCAGCAGCCGCGGUAAUACGAAGGGUGCAAGCGUUACUCGGAAUUACUGGGCGUAAAGCGUGCGUAGGUGGUUGUUUAAGUCUGAUGUGAAAGCCCUGGGCUCAACCUGGGAAUGGGAUUGGAAACUGGGAAGCUAGAGUGGGGUAGAGGGUAGUGGAAUUCCCGGUGGAGCAGUGAAAUGCGUAGAGAUCGGGAGGAACAUCUGUGACGAAGGCGACUGCCUGGACCAGCACUGACACUGAGGCACGAAAGCGUGG
Molecule: ribosomal RNA, 411 nt
Filed under: uncultured bacterium
Lineage: Bacteria
Description: bacterial SSU rRNA
Rfam family: Bacterial small subunit ribosomal RNA
Source: RNAcentral